GGCAAUGGCGGGCGCCCCUCCCCCAGCCUCGCUGCCGCCUUGCAGUUUGAUCUCAGACUGCUGUGCUAGCAAUCAGCGAGACUCCCUGGGGUAGGACCCUCCGAGCCAGGUGCGGGAGAUAGUCUCCUGGUGCGAGGAUUUUUAAGCCGGUCGGAAAAGCGCAGUAUUCGGGUGGGAGUGACCCGAUUUUCCAGACAGGUGAAGACAGAACAAGAAAACAAACCAAGAAUUUCCCCUCACCAGCCACCAGCUCUGCCAGCAACUUGAUCUUAGACUUCCCAGCCUCCGUAACGCCUCUGCUUAUAAUCUGUCAUGGAUUGGAAAACUAGAAAAAACAGUUUACAGAGUAUAACAAACUUUGGAGGAGUUAAUCGACUCUAAGUAAAAGAGUAUCUAGCACGGCUGUGGAACAAAGGAGAGACUCACAAACUGUUGAAAGAAUAAAUGAAUGAAUGAAUUCUGUUCAUGAGCUUUAAUAAAACAGCUCUGAGUAGUAACAGUGGAUCAAAUUUAGGCUUCUUGAUGCAGGCAUGGUGUAGAUUACUACUUCUGUAUUGUCCCAGGAGCUCAGCACAUUCCUGCAGAGAUGAUAGGAGCUCAUCUGAUACUUGUCAGCUUUGAAUAAACUCCAGUCCCCAAGAGAGAGAAUGAGAAUCACCGGAAUACGAAACUUCCCUGUUGGACUUCCCAACAUUCUUGAAUGCACCAAGAUAGCCUCUUGCUGUGAGAUUAAUAAAUGAAUAAAUGCCUCCAUAUUUUU
This 760-nucleotide long non-coding RNA is filed under the name Homo sapiens (human). RNAcentral describes it as "HSALNT0310162". Lineage: Eukaryota; Metazoa; Chordata; Mammalia; Primates; Hominidae. The record is from RNAcentral.